Molecule: ribosomal RNA, 545 nt
Filed under: uncultured bacterium
Lineage: Bacteria
Description: bacterial SSU rRNA
Rfam family: Bacterial small subunit ribosomal RNA
Source: RNAcentral
AAGCCUGAUCCAGCAAUGCCGCGUGUGUGAAGAAGGCCUUCGGGUUGUAAAGCACUUAAGACCGGAAAGAAAUCCUUGGCUCUAAUACAGUCGGGGGAUGACGGUACCGGAAGAAUAAGCACCGGCUAACUACGUGCCAGCAGCCGCGGUAAUACGUAGGGUGCGAGCGUUAAUCGGAAUUACUGGGCGUAAAGCGUGCGCAGGCGGUUUGCUAAGACCGAUGUGAAAUCCCCGGGCUCAACCUGGGAACUGCAUUGGUGACUGGCAGGCUAGAGUAUGGCAGAGGGGGGUAGAAUUCCACGUGUAGCAGUGAAAUGCGUAGAGAUGUGGAGGAAUACCGAUGGCGAAGGCAGCCCCCUGGGCCAAUACUGACGCUCAUGCACGAAAGCGUGGGGAGCAAACAGGAUUAGAUACCCUGGUAGUCCACGCCCUAAACGAUGUCAACUAGUUGUUGGGGAUUCAUUUCCUUAGUAACGUAGCUAACGCGUGAAGUUGACCGCCUGGGGAGUACGGUCGCAAGAUUAAAACUCAAAUGAAUUGACGGA